AGAGUUUGAUCCUGGCUCAGAAUCAACGCUGGCGGCGUGCCUAACACAUGCAAGUCGAACGAGAAAGUGGAGCAAUCCAUGAGUAAAGUGGCGCACGGGUGAGUAACACGUGACUAACCUACCCUUGAGUGGGGGAUAACCUAGAGAAAUCUGGGCUAAUACCGCAUAAUACCUUCGGGUCAAAGGAGCAAUUCGCUUAAGGAGGGGGUCGCGGCCGAUUAGUUAGUUGGCGGGGUAAUGGCCCACCAAGACUGUGAUCGGUAUCCGGCCUGAGAGGGCGCACGGACACACUGGAACUGAAACACGGUCCAGACUCCUACGGGAGGCAGCAGUGGGGAAUCUUGCGCAAUGGGGGAAACCCUGACGCAGCAACGCCGCGUGGAGGAUGAAGUCCCUUGGGACGUAAACUCCUUUCGAUCGGGACGAUAAUGACGGUACC
RNAcentral lists this ribosomal RNA (439 nucleotides) under uncultured bacterium. RNAcentral's name for it is "bacterial SSU rRNA". It matches the Rfam family "Bacterial small subunit ribosomal RNA", at positions 8 to 479 of the family's 1533-position model. The record is from RNAcentral.